This is a non-coding RNA of Cyanistes caeruleus (blue tit), 5118 nucleotides long. The record is from RefSeq and is a predicted model, not a curated record. NCBI's taxonomy places the organism in Eukaryota, Metazoa, Chordata, Aves, Passeriformes, Paridae.
CUGCGCCCGGGUGGCGGGGGCGGGCGGCGAAGUUUCUUCCCUUCCCUCUGGCUUCGGAGGUACCUGUUUGUAUAAUAAUGGGUGGUAACGGUUUGGCCGGGGGCCCCCGCUCCGCUCUCCGUGCGUGUGUGACCAGCUGCUGCAGUCUAUAUAAGGAAUUACAUUUACAUUUCAGACUUAGGGGCUGCUGUGGGGUGGUGUUUUUUCCCCUUUGGUACGUGUGUUACUUUAAGAUGCAAUGGGAAGAUACACGGCGGGGGGAAUAAAGACUCGUAACACCCACUCUCUACUUAUUUUCUGGAAAAUGGAGAAGUAGUUCGGUCCUCGUAGCACGACUCUUCGGAAUAGGAUGUAGACUAGGCGAUUUUGUAACCCUCCUUGGCAAUUUUGGGUUUUAUGUGGCAUUUCCUGUGCAGGGUCACAGAUAGGAAGGCUUUGCCUGCCAUCUGAGAUGUUUUCAUAUGCAGUGAACAGUCUCCGAAAUAGAUCGGAGUCACGAUCGGUGCUUCACCUCUCUAAUCCUGACUGUUCAGGGUGUAAGGUGGUGAUAAAUGACGGCCUUUCCAGGGGCUAACGGGUUGGUUUGAUUGUGUUGAACUUAAAAGGGUUUUCUUAUUUUUGCUGUGUGUGUUUUCUAGCAAGUGUUCUUAUUUGCACGCUCGUAUUAUUAAUUCCUUGUUCUAAUGUAAAUAUUUAUAUUUAGCUCAUGAUUUGGCUGUGCUAAAGGUAAGUUUGGAAAGUGCUUUUCUCUUUACCUUAUUAAAAAUGUGGAUGAUUAGAGAAAGGGGCUUUUCUUGUUGCUGACGACAACAUGUGUGACAUGUGAGUCUGAAACCACCCAGCGUCUGUGCAGGAGCUGUAAACAUGUUUACCUGAACAGGAAAGAAAAUGGAUUUUUCUCUUAAAGAUCCAGUGAUGUGAAUACUAUACUCUUAAAGCAUAUCAACAGAUGCCUUGAGAGAGAAAUUUUCUGAAAACCUGGCUUUUGAAAUCGACGGGAAAAAAAGAUCCUUGAUUGCUGCAGCAAAUGGCAACUUGUGCAGAUAAAUAAUAUUCCUGAGUGACAGCCAAGGAGAAUGGGAAGCCCAGUCAAGAGCAGUGAGAUUUGAUGGAUAAAAUACUAACUCCAGUUAAAUGCAGCAUAGCUUUAUAAAUUUAUUUCAGUACUCCUGAGAAAAAUACUACUUCCAUCACACAGCAUGUAAGCACCUUUCAGGCAGUAAAAAUGUAUGUACUGAGUCUUCCUGUAUCUUGGCCUGUACAUCCAAUUCCUUAUCUUCUCACAGGUCAGGUGAUAGAUCAGGAACACUGGAGGAACUGGCAAGAUCAUUGGAGAUAAGCAUCCAUCCACAGAUGUGUACAUGGAAGAAAGCAAAAUGAUAUUACAAAACAUCACAAAUGCAGCACAAUUUGAAAAAAAGGAAAUCUAUUCCAUCUGAAAAAAGGGCAAAAUAAAGAACAGAAAAAUCAUGCCUUAACUACAAGACUUAAGUUGAUUUUUGUUGAACUGGUAGAUCCCUAAAGAAGCAGGUUGGGCUUUUUAUUUGUCUGUUUUCCUAACACCUUCCUCCUCACCUGAGCUAACAUAAUUUUUAUUAAUGCCCAAAAGCAUCAGGGAGAUGAUUUGUCCCUUUUUCUAAGAUGCGCUUGUCUUCAAACAGUUUUUCUUAAUGCCUUGAGGUAUUUUUGCCUUGUGUGCUUCCAGGUAUGUAUCAGAUUUUCCUUCUUCACACCUUCUAGUCCAUUUUGUAAUUGCUCUUAAGUUCCUGUAAGCUAUUUACUGCAAGCCAUGUUAAGUCUUAGACUGGAAAAGGAGAUACUGUUCAGAAUCUGUAACCUGGUUAAUCUUGUACUCUGUCUCUCCAUAGCCUUUCCUUUGCAGUAUUUCUGGCACAGCUAUUUGGUUAAGUCAAGCAAAAUAGAACCAGUCUCACCCUACUGGAUUCAUUCUUAUGCUAUUGUUCACAGGAAGGACCUAGGUACAGUUUGCCUGGUAAAGAGCAUGAGGUGGUGAAUAAGGACUUUGAAGCAGAUUUGGAGCUGUAAUGACUGGCUUCCUUCCCUGCUGCUGUCCCUUCCCCUUCCUUGCUAAGCAUUUUCAUUUGAAAUACUAAGGUGUGGUCAUCGGGCAUAGCUGUUCUCAACUUCCAGUAAUUUUUUGCUCACUACUGAGCUGCACCAUAAUUACAUAUGCAAAUGUAGUAAUUUUUUUUCCCUUCUUACCUUGUACAUGUGGAAAAGGAAGAUAAGGUUGCAGAGUUCUGUCGGGGAGGUGCUGCUAUUGAGGAGGUACUGCAGAUGGCUGCAGGAGACAAGUACUGGACCUGCAGGACAAGGCUCAGCAGGGGAUUUCAGAACUUCCAAUAUCUGAAAGGCAACAAGAAAACAGUCUUCUUGCCAACUUUAGAUAGGAUCAGAUUGUAGGAUGGCUUGUUGUAACAACCUAUUUUGAUACAUUCUAGCUACUGAAUGCUGAAAGUUAAUUUGCAUUUCCAGUAUGGAUUUGUUUUGUAGACAUAUAUGAAUCUACAUCCGUCUAUGUAUGUAUAUCUGUAGUUAAAUCCAAUAAUUUAAUCUUUUAGACUGGCUUGGAUGCUCCCAGUAGUAGCACAAGGUAGACUUCUGUUCAUAAGUGUUGUAAUGAUUGUAAAACCACAGAGAUGAAUUCUGUAGAACAGACUAUUCUGACAAUUUCUGCCCUUCAUGGUAAGGCUUACCUUGUACAUUUUCCAGAUCUGGAAGUGACAUACUGUAUUCCUGGAACACCGAAUGUGAUUUUGAGCAAAUAUUGGAAGAUGGAAUUGGUUCUAUAGUGCAAUCAAAAUGCUGUGAGGCUUUCUGCACAAAAGUGAAAUAAUACCUUAGAAAUGAGAAGCAGAAUUUAAUUGGUAGUUGUGGCAAAGGAAAGGGGAAAUAGUUGCAGUGUCACAUCACGCAGGAUAACAUGCCAUAGUUCUGUUUCACCACGUGAUUAAUCUUGCCUGCAUAGUUCAUGUAGUAGUUAUGUGAUGGAGACCAACACCUUAAAAAGAUGAGCCUGGCUUUUUCCUCAGCAUGUGAGUGAAUAAAACUAGUGGCAGAUUUUCCAUUUCUGUGAAGUAAGCCAGUUCACAAAAGGAGAAUUUUAACUUUCCAACUGUAAAGGAUACAAAUAAACCUAGGCGAAUAAAAAUCAUCAGACACAGCAGGGGUUUAUUAUCCCGACAGAAAAUUCUUAUGAGAUGUCUGAUGCAAACUGCCGUCUGUGGAUCUGAUGCUUCAAAAAUAUUUUUGGCAGUAGUGCUUGUGACAGUGCUAAGAUGCUUUCCUUCAGAAGUGAAAUAAAGUAAGGUGGUUAAGAACUCCAGUAAAUACGGCUAUUUUCUUUUCUUUAGAAGUUGCAAGCCUUUGCCAUGUAUUUAUGUCACAUGCCUGGAACAAAAUAAUUUAAAAACUUCCUGUUGUGCACUACUGUAUGCAGAUCAUUUCAUUGCAUUUGUUUUUUUCAUGUGUAUGGUGUCACAAUACUUCGGCAUAUAGAAAAUAUAUACAGCUUUUUAGAAAAGAGUGAGUUGUUUUUUGAGUUGGUAAAAAAACAGAAGAGCUGAAAUUGGAAGGUCAUAAAAUGUCUUGUUCUAAUAGUUUACAGUUUCCUGUAUUUAGCUCUUAUUUCAUCUUUCUGACUUUUGAUAAUAUUUUAAGCACUUUGAAAGUCUCCUAUUCCAAAUUCUCAGAACAAAAAUGUUUGUGACUGUUCAAGUUCCAAGAUGUUCGCUUACAGUGUAAAGUCUCCCAGGUUUGUGCCUUAAUGUAUCUUAAUAGGCAUCCUAAUUAAGCUUUUUAUCCCUUAAAUGUUUCCCCAACCUGUCUACCUUUAAAGAAUUCAUGUGUCUUCCUUCAACCACAGUUUUAAGUAGGACUGUCAAUCCAAUGUGUGUCUUGUUCAUUUUUGGGUCUACUGUCAGAACACUUUGUAGCUGAAGUGUGUGUGCGCAUGUGCAGCUGCAUGUGCUGUUUUCCUGCCUUUUCCUUUUGUCUGUCAAGCUUCUGGCUGAUAGCAGAUUAGCCAUCUGAAUGUGGGCAGCAAAGAGUAAUGGGCUGUACAGAAUGCCUGGGGCUUCUUGCAUACAAUAAAAUGACUCCAUUAUAAAGCAAAAAAUGACAAGUUUGCCAUGGAAGAUGUCUGUACUGGGGAGAUGGAGAGUAGCCUUUGGUUUAUGAUCAUCUUAAUGGGUGUAAAAUAAAUUUAAUUUUUUUUUAACCAUCAAAAAUAUUCCUAGGUGCUUUACGGAGCAUUGCUGAUGGUUCUAGCAGGAAAAUACUUAUGAGCUAAAUUGCUGAUGUACUACUUGCUAUUCCUGAUUGCUGUAUAUGUGUGAGGGAAGAAAGGGAGUAACAGCAUGAUGGCUCAGUUUAAUUUUCAUCAUGCAGGUGUGUGUGUUUUUUUCCUUUCUUUUCAAUUUUUUUAUCUCUAAUGUUUUGCUUAGUUACAGGAUUACAUAAUCUGCCCUGCAGAACUGUGUUAGGUUUAUGAAGUCUUUUGGAAGAUGUGCUGAUACACAUUUGAAGGAAAUUGGGCCAGGAACGUGGCUGAGAUGCAGGGAAUCCAGAUGCUGGAGAAGGACAUGAAAUAUAAAGCUGUAGAGAGUUGGAUCAUUGUCAGUAGAAAAAUGAAGCUGUGUGCAGAGGCAUAGUAGCAGGAAAACUAGCAGGGAAUCUUAUCAAGUUUUUUUUGACAGCUCUACUUGCCUGUUUUAAGAAUUUGGUGUUUAAAAAGCCCUCUUGAUUGUCUACAGUUUACCGUGUCAGUAAGCAGUAGUGGCUGCUUGUGCACUUCUAAAUUCCAGUUACAGCUCUCAAGAAGAUUUUUUGUUUGUUUUUAUGGCAUUCAAGCUCUAAAAGGUGCUCUCCCCUGUAAAAAAAAAAAACAACAAAACAGGUGCAGUAUGUUAAUUUAUGCUAAAUGGAAGAUCUUCCUGGUUUGCAUCUGCUCAGGAAAUUAAGACAGCUGAUAUAUAUGAGCUUCCAAGCUAACUGGCAAGUCAGGAUAAAAGCAAUUUGGUAUAUAGAAUAUGCAUGUAUUGUUAAAAAAUGGAAAACUUGUCUUAAAAUGCUUGAUUAAACAUACCUCUUAACUGA